CUCAUAUUUGUAUUAAUUUUUUGUUUGUUUUUUUAUAUUAUUUUUUCGACAAUUAAUUAAUUAAUGUUAUCAUCCAUUUUUACAAUGAAAAUAUGUUUUAUGCUUUGUUUAUUUUUUUCUGUGCUAUCAUAUUUUUAUCAAACGAUGAGAAUAAAUAUGUCAAUAAUAUAACAUUCGAAAAAAAAAUAGGGAAUCAGGUAAAUUUAAGAUUAUUAAGUAACAAAAGAAACCAAAGGGUAUCUUCAACAUAUGACAAAUUGCUUUUUGUUUUCUUUAAGAACAAAAAAAAGUGGAAUGGAAAUGUAAAAAGUAAGAGGAAAAUAAAAAAUAGAAGAAUUUAUUUUGAAAGGAAUGGAAUAAAUGUACCUCAAGAUAUAGCAAUGUUUGGAAAUACUAACAUUUAUUAUAUAAGGGAAAGUAUUUAUAAUAAAAAUGAGAAUAAUUUAGUGCCAAAUGAAAUUGAUAAUGAAUAUAUUGAAGAGCUUAAUAAUUUAAAAGAAGACGAUGAAGAAGUAAAAAAUGAAAGUAUAAAUAAUGAAUAUAAUCAUAAUGCUAAAGAAAACAAGAAUACUGGCCAAACAAAUGCUGAAGAAACUUUAAAUAUGUUAAAGUAUCCUAUAGACAAUAACUUUAAUAGUAACAACACGGACAAGCAGGAUAGUAUGCAACAAAACAAAAAAUUUGAAAAAGAAAAAAAUACUAAUACUACUAACAGUAUUUUUAAUUAUAUAAAUCAAGACAAAGAAUAUAUUUCACAAGUUGAGAAUUCCCCGAAAGUUGAUGUGUAUGAAAGAAGAUAUAAAGCGAAUGAAAAAAAAAUAUAUACCAUAUUUGAAAAUAUAAAUGAAGUUAAUAUACAAUUGUUGAAAGAUAUUAAAAGUAUUGAUGAAAAGGAAAAACUAAUAAAUAAAAGAGUAAUAGAAAAAGUAAGAGAAGAUAUAAAAAAAUAUCAAGAAACAAAUGAAAUUAUGGACAUUAAAGGGAAUAUGAUGAAACUAUCCACAGAAAAUAAAAAUAAAAAUAAAGGUAAAGAGGACACAAAAGAAAAAAAUAACCCAAACUUGGAUAUGGAUGAAGAAGAAAAAAAUGAAGUAAUUAAAAAACUCUAUAUGAUUGAUAAAAAAACCGAAAAAUAUUUAGAAGAAAAUGUUUAUUUUGUUAUACAAACGUGGCUACCUGAUAUAAGAAUUGACGACACACUUAUAGUUAUUGAUAGUAUUGAAAAAUUGUAUAAUAAUUUUGACAUUUCAAAAUACUAUGAAAAAUUCAAAGAAAUAAAAAAUAAAAAUUUUUCUUAUGAUAUAUCUUCUUAUGAAAUUGAAAAUAUUCCAAAAGAUAUUAAUGAUGAUACCGAAAUAGAAUGUGAACAUGUUCGUUCUUAUAAUAAUACGUACAAUAAGCUAAAUAAUUAUAAUCAGAAAAAGUAUUCAUAUACUUACACAACAAAUGAAAACAUGGAUACAAAAGUUGUAAAAAACGAACCUAUGCCACCAAUAGUCCUAAUUAACACAAAAAAAAAUUUAAUGGUUCAAGAAUGGGAAUGUAAAAAUUUUAAAAAUCGACAAAAAAAAAAUAAAGCGUAUGAAUAUACAAGAAUACAAAGAGCGUUCAGACCAUUUUCUUAU
This 1625-nucleotide long non-coding RNA is filed under the name Piliocolobus tephrosceles (Ugandan red Colobus). Its description in RNAcentral is "lncRNA (ENSPTEG00000007294.1)". The record is from RNAcentral. Lineage: Eukaryota; Metazoa; Chordata; Mammalia; Primates; Cercopithecidae.